UCGAGAGGCUUCUACAAUGGGGGAAACCCUGAUAGAGCGACGCCGCGUGGGUGAUGAAGGUCUUCGGAUCGUAAAGCCCUUUCAGCAGGGAAGAACGGAUUGGUGCUAAUAUCACCGUAUCCAUGACGGUACCUGCAGAAGAAGCUCCGGCUAACUACGUGCCAGCAGCCGCGGUAACACGUAGGGAGCGAGCGUUACUCGGAAUCACUGGGCAUAAAGGGCGUGUAGGCGGGUGCGCAAGUCCGAUGUGAAAUCCACCGGCUCACCCGGUGAAGUGCAUUGGAUACUGCGUGUCUGGAGUGUGGGAGAGGAGAGCGGAACUCUUGGUGGAGCGGGUAAAUGCGUAGAUAUCAAGAGGAACGCCGGUGGCGAAAGCGGCUCUCUGGCCCAUUACUGACGCUGAGGCGCGAAAGCUAGGGGAGCAAACG
This 428-nucleotide ribosomal RNA is filed under the name uncultured prokaryote. RNAcentral's name for it is "bacterial SSU rRNA". It matches the Rfam family "Bacterial small subunit ribosomal RNA", at positions 355 to 774 of the family's 1533-position model. The record is from RNAcentral.